This 233-nucleotide ribosomal RNA is filed under the name uncultured bacterium. RNAcentral's name for it is "partial 16S ribosomal RNA". It matches the Rfam family "Bacterial small subunit ribosomal RNA", at positions 537 to 769 of the family's 1533-position model. The record is from RNAcentral.
AGCGUUAUCCGGAAUUAUUGGGCGUAAAGAGUACGUAGGUGGCUACCUAAGCACGAGGUAUAAGGCUAUGGCUUAACCAUAGUUCGCCUUGUGAACUGGGCUGCUUGAGUGCAGGAGAGGAAAGCGGAAUUCCUAGUGUAGCGGUGAAAUGCGUAGAUAUUAGGAGGAACACCAGUGGCGAAGGCGGUCUUUCUGGACUGUAACUGACACUGAGGUACGAAAGCGUGGGGAGC